This 446-nucleotide ribosomal RNA is filed under the name uncultured bacterium. RNAcentral's name for it is "partial 16S ribosomal RNA". It matches the Rfam family "Bacterial small subunit ribosomal RNA", at positions 338 to 795 of the family's 1533-position model. The record is from RNAcentral.
CCUACGGGUGGCAGCAGUCGAGAAUCAUUCACAAUGGGGGAAACCCUGAUGGUGCGACGCCGCGUGGGGGAAUGAAGGUCUUCGGAUUGUAAACCCCUGUCAUGUGGGAGCAAAUUAAAAAGAUAGUACCACAAGAGGAAGAGACGGCUAACUCUGUGCCAGCAGCCGCGGUAAUACAGAGGUCUCAAGCGUUGUUCGGAAUCACUGGGCGUAAAGCGUGCGUAGGCGGGUUCGUAAGUCGGGUGUGAAAGGCGCGGGCUCAACCCGCGGACGGCACAUGAUACUGCGAGACUAGAGUAGUGGAGGGGGAAGCGGAAUUCGCGGUGUAGCAGUGAAAUGCGUAGAUAUCGAGAGGAACACUCGUGGCGAAGGCGGGUUCCUGGACAUUAACUGACGCUGAGGCACGAAGGCCAGGGGAGCGAAAGGGAUUAGAUACCCCAGUAGUC